GACGAACGCUGGCGGCGUGCUUAACACAUGCAAGUCGAACGGAAAGGCCCUGCUUUUGUGGGGUGCUCGAGUGGCGAACGGGUGAGUAACACGUGAGUAACCUGCCCUUGACUUUGGGAUAACUUCAGGAAACUGGGGCUAAUACCGGAUAGGAGCUCCUGCUGCAUGGUGGGGGUUGGAAAGUUUCGGCGGUUGGGGAUGGACUCGCGGCUUAUCAGCUUGUUGGUGGGGUAGUGGCUUACCAAGGCUUUGACGGGUAGCCGGCCUGAGAGGGUGACCGGCCACAUUGGGACUGAGAUACGGCCCAGACUCCUACGGGAGGCAGCAGUGGGGAAUAUUGCACAAUGGGCGGAAGCCUGAUGCAGCAACGCCGCGUGCGGGAUGACGGCCUUCGGGUUGUAAACCGCUUUCGCCUGUGACGAAGCGUGAGUGACGGUAAUGGGUAAAGAAGCACCGGCUAACUACGUGCCAGUAGCCGCGGUGAUACGUAGGGUGCGAGCGUUGUCCGGAUUUAUUGGGCGUAAAGGGCUCGUAGGUGGUUGAUCGCGUCGGAAGUGUAAUCUUGGGGCUUAACCCUGAGCGUGCUUUCGAUACGGGUUGACUUGAGGAAGGUAGGGGAGAAUGGAAUUCCUGGUGGAGCGGUGGAAUGCGCAGAUAUCAGGAGGAACACCAGUGGCGAAGGCGGUUCUCUGGGCCUUUCCUGACGCUGAGGAGCGAAAGCGUGGGGAGCGAACAGGCUUAGAUACCCUGGUAGUCCACGCUGUAAACGGUGGGUACUAGGUGUGGGGUCCAUUCCACGGGUUCCGUGCCGUAGCUAACGCUUUAAGUACCCCGCCUGGGGAGUACGGCCGCAAGGCUAAAACUCAAAGGAAUUGACGGGGCCCCGCACAAGCGGCGGAGCAUGCGGAUUAAUUCGAUGCAACGCGUAGAACCUUACCUGGGUUUGACAUGGAUCGGGAGUGCUCAGAGAUGGGUGUGCCUCUUUUGGGGUCGGUUCACAGGUGGUGCAUGGCUGUCGUCAGCUCGUGUCGUGAGAUGUUGGGUUAAGUCCCGCAACGAGCGCAACCCUUGUUCACUGUUGCCAGCACGUUAUGGUGGGGACUCAGUGGAGACCGCCGGGGUCAACUCGGAGGAAGGUGGGAAUGACGUCAAGUCAUCAUGCCCCUUAUGUCCAGGGCUUCACGCAUGCUACAAUGGCUGGUACAGAGAGUGGCGAGCCUGUGAGGGUGAGCGAAUCUCGGAAAGCCGGUCUCAGUUCGGAUUGGGGUCUGCAACUCGACCUCAUGAAGUCGGAGUCGCUAGUAAUCGCAGAUCAGCAACGCUGCGGUGAAUACGUUCCCGGGGCU
This 1346-nucleotide ribosomal RNA is filed under the name uncultured bacterium. RNAcentral's name for it is "partial 16S ribosomal RNA". It matches the Rfam family "Bacterial small subunit ribosomal RNA", at positions 28 to 1381 of the family's 1533-position model. The record is from RNAcentral.